CUGCCGCGCACUCGGGCAGGGCUGCGCCGGGCUCCGCGCCGGGAGCGCUGCCAUGUUCGGCCGCGGCUCCCGCAAGCGGCUCUCCAGCCGCUCGCUGACGGCGUCGGGGGAGCCGGAGCGGGGCCAGCCCUGCAACACCUGCGGGGACCAGUGCCCGGGCUUCGCCCUGCACAAGUGGAGGUGUAUAAAUAAAACAUUUUCACAUUGGGCCCUGUGCAGUUCCAGCCCAGACUUAUUUACUUUCUGCUGAGGUAACUUGGAAGAGACAUGAAUCUUCUAGUGUGACAGGAGAAAUCAGGUGGCAUCAUUAUUGCAUGUUGUGCUCAAAAUGAUCAAAUGCAAUGUUAAUAAAUAUUUUCCUGAGAAAAGUUACAAGUAUUUAAAGAAUAUUUUUAAACAAAGAAGCAUUUGUCUCAUGUACAGCAGAGGGCACUCUGCAUCGCUGCUGCGCUACUCGGCUGCUGCUCCAGCUGCCCGAAGGGGGAAAAAAUCCCUGUGCUUAAAUUAUAGUUUGCAGAAAUGAAAUACUCUGUGUGUGUUUGCUUAUACAGGGGUGUGAGUGUGUAUAUUAAAAGACACAGGGUGGCGUAUAUAUAAAAAUAAUCCCAGCACAUAAUGUAAAACUUAAAUAUUCGUAGUGGUUGCUGAAGUUAGGUGAAGCACAUGUUGUGUUGAUUAAUGCUCUGCCUGCUGUUAUGCUGAGCUUCAGAGGGGACUGAAGUGUGCUGAAAGGAGAAAAUGAAGAGGCCCUGGCUAGUGAAGGGUUGCAAUCUUCAUCUUCUUGAAGGCAUAGAGGCUAGUGACAGCCUAGGAUGCUGGCAACUGCCCGAGCAAAGGAAAGAUCUUGAAAGAUGGAUAAUAUUGGAGGGUGUGGAAUUAAGAGUCCUUCUGUGUAUAAAAGCAGCAGAUCUGGGGGCUUGUGGGUUCUGUGCUGGGGUUUGCAGUGCUGAGAUCUCGUUCCCAGCAGCACCAAAGCUUGUGGAGUUGCGAGGCUCUUGUGAAAAUCCCGGAGAUUGUUUUUAUCCUUACUGUAGGAGUUAUCUGUGCAAGGAAAUUUAAAAUACUGAGGUUUGUGCCUGAAGCAGGAAGCAGCCCUAGCCCCAAGGAUGCUGUGGAAGGGCUGGAUUCUGGCUGGGGUGUUGUUAGUUGGAAGAUGAAGCACCUGCUUGCUGGGGGAGGGACCCCAUCCUUGAGGUACAGAGGUGUGUCCUUCAUGGUCCAGAGAUGAUCACAGAGAUUGGUGCCAUCUCACUUCUUUAAUAAGAUUUUUUUUCCAACAAAAAUGGACUUUUUUCAUUUUUGUUCCCUUCAGCUGAUUAUUCAGACACUGCCAAGGUACUGCCAAGGUGGGUUUCUAGUUUAACUCUUAGUGCACCUUCUUUUCUUAGUGUUUUUCUUUUAAGAGGAAAUAAAGAGCUCCAAAGCCAAGUCCUUGUUCAGCUUUUGGCUGUAUUGUAAUGCUUUUGAAAUAUUCUGGAUAGCUGGAUUUUGUGCCAUGCUUUGGGUGACAAGUUUCUUGGUAAAACCAUGCAAUGCCAUGCUGAAUUUUCAGAUUUUAGUAAUUAAUUCAAGAGGAAUUCAGAUUUCCUCCUGUCUCCCCCAGUGAGCUGCUUGCGUUGGGCUUAAUCUAAAUCUCUCAAAGCAGGGCUCCUGCAAGAGUCUGGAAGUGUCAACGCUGUUGUAUAAAAUAUGGGCCUGGUAACAAGAAUGAGGGGGCAUGUAGUUCAAGAUAACCAGUUUAUGCUAAAUACACAGCUGGGUGGAUUUUUCUAUAGAGAAUCUGUGGCGUAUAAUGAUCAGAGAAAUAUGGAAAUGCCGGAGGGGCUUUAUAAUAAUGGGUGCUAAUUAUGAUGAAAUGGAUUUGGGUGGUAGGGAGUAAUCCAAGAUUACAAUAGUAAGGGGUUUUUUUAAGUAGCUCCUGCUAUUUGGGAGGGCAGCAGAGCUCCUUGUUACAUGGCUUAAAACAAUCUCUUUUAGGAUUGUCACAAGCAGCGUUCGCCCUUGGCUGGUUAUUUCACAAGGGCUUGGUGCAGCUCAGACAUGACAUAUGUGAGUAAUUUCAAGGAUACAAGCUGGCCCACGUGCUGCAAAGCACAUUCUCACUAGGAUAAAGAUGCUGUUAUAUCAUUGUGCCUGGAUAAUUGCUUUCCUGGAGGUGUCACUGGAGCUGGUAUCUGGGAUGGGCUGUUUUGUCCCAUUAUGGUGGUUCCUGGAUGGUGUGGUUUUGGGGCUGUGAGAGCAGGAUGGUGCUGCCAUCACCAGUUAGAUGCUCCUGCCUGUGCUGGUGGGCUGGGAAGUACUGGGAGGAUGCUGCUGGGAAUGAACUGUUGCAGCUCUGGGAUUGGGACCAAAAGCAAGUUGUAACACCACAGCCUGGAGCACAGGAUCCUGGUUCUGGCUACAGGUUUUUGGGCAGGAGCACAUGUGUAAAGCCAGGCACGUAUCUGCUCAUGCUGCUUGGCUUUUCCUUUCUUGUAAGGAUUUGCUGGUCUUUUUUCAGUGCUGACCAUGCCACAAAGCACUGGACUUAGCACACAGAGUGCCUCAGGUACUCAUCUCCUUGGAAAACAGUGGUUGUGAAAUGUUUUGUUGUUGUUAACAGAGAUGUGGCAAUGCAGAGCUUGAAAAGCUGCACUUGAAUUAUCCAGCCUUGUGCUGGAGACCAGCAAGCCUUAUGACUCACCUUAGCCAGAGUCAAUAGAAAUGAAACUAUUUAAAUACACAAUUAAAAUAUGUUGUUAUGUUAGCAUGUGGACCUCCAUGCAAGCUUGCUCUCUAACUAGGUCAAUUAAAGGACCCCCACGGAAGAGAUGUAGGAGGCUGGUUUAAAAAAAAAAUCCCAGUGUUAACUGCUUGUUUGCUGCCAAGUAGAUUUUGGUCUGAAGUGAAAGGCAUAAAGCACCUGGACUUUAUGGGCAGGCUUUGGGGGGACUUAUCUUCACUUUGGGACUCCAAAAUCUUGUAGGCAGUGAGAAGAAAUGGGUUAAAAAGAUGUUGCAUGCUUCCUUUCAGGGGAUGAAAUCCAGCUGGCACACAGUGCCCUAGCCCUGGUAGCAGAGAGGGUUGUUGGCCAUGGCCAGGACGUUGUUGUGGUUCAGCUCCACCAUCUCCCUCAGCUUUUCCAGAUGAUCCAGGAGCUUGAGUAGUUCAUAAAAGGAGUGAGUAGCCAAAUGGACCAAUAAAAGGAGUUUGUGGAAAGGCCCAAUAUAUUUUAUGAAGAAAGAAAUGGAUCCUCUAAUGCGAGGGUUGUGUCUUGUAAAAUUUUGCAGGGCUGCAAGUGCUGUUAAACACUGGCUCCCUGCUCCAGCCACUCCUUGGAGCACACGCAGCAACUGCUGAAACUUUCCUUUUGACCUGAACUCUUCCAAGUUUGGGGUGAAAUCCUGACCUUGGAGAAGUCAUGUCAUGAAUUUCCCAGGGACCAUCAAAGUGGUCAUCAGUACAAGAACUGUGAUCACAGUCCUUGAAUUAAAUUUGUCUGGCCUUGUGGGAUUUUUUUAGGCAAAAUGGAACAAAACUUUACAUCUUCUUAAUGCUCUUUGAUGGCAGCAACAGCAGCUGGAAGGCCAAAAUUUGGCCUGGCCAUGGUUAUUGCUGGGAAAUGCCUUUGUGUGAUCCAGGAAAAAUGAAGCUGUUUGGAAGUGAGCAAUGAGUGAGUUUGCAGAGUGGGAUGCUCUGUGCACACUUGGUGCUUCCAGUGAUGGUAACCCACGGAGUAAAAUUUCAGCCCAGCACAGGGGGCGCACGCAAGGGUGACCAAUGAUUUAAAUCCCAUGUCCCCCAGGCUGCUCAAAGGGUUUGAAGCUGGCUGUGGCACAGGGAGCUGGGGUGCCCUGCCAGCUCAGGUGGCACCAUCCAUAGCUGCAGAGAUCUCAUCUCACCAUGCCACCCUGAAUGCUGUAGGAUGGGGAGGCAGCAAGUGAGGCACAGCAUCACUGGAUGUGGCAUUGAAAGGAUGGGCAGAGAGCUGCAGGAAAGUAGAAAACAAGGAUCUUGCUGCUGAUUCAUUGUUUUCUGUGUCUGCAGCUUCGAUCUUGAUGCUAGCCAACCUGUGAGAUUUUCAGCUAAACCUUUUUUAGUAUUCUCCUUAUGUAGUUUGAAUUUAUUCCAAUGGACUGCAGUGAUGUGGUGGUGUUCAAGUCAGGCUUGAGUUUCUUAACUGAUAAAAAUUUGAUGACAUUUCUUCUGUCUUGGCCCCAAGGAGCAAAGCUUCAGAGCUCAACCAAUCUUACAAGAUUCCUGUCCUUUUGAUCCAACACCUUCUGAGAAUUGUUUCUGCUGCACCCAGACUUUAAAAUAGGACAAAUUCCCAAUAUCCAGCCUGCAAAUUCCCAAUUUCCAACCUGUAAUUAAAGUUUGGCUUCUAAACCAAUGUCUUUGGUCCAAAAUGCUGAGCAGAGACAAAUUUUGGGUUGUGUCCCUCUGCAAAACAACCACAGAGAUGAUGCCUGCAGGUGUGUGGCCUUUCACUGAGCCAGAGAUGGGGUGACCCCAACUGCAACCUAAGAGAAGAGUCCAGAUUUCAAGGGAAUGGCAUUACAUUUCUCAGUCACUGGAAGUCUUUACAGUCAAGGAGGGAUUACCUUUGGAGAGGAUUUGGUCAUUCCCAGUUCUGGAGAACUGGCUUUGCUGAGAUCUCCUCACUAGAAAUGCUCAGCUCCCCUUCAGCUUUAUGGGAACACAGAAGUGUCUCCUCUGGUAGACAGAGAUGCUCAAGAAAAGGGGCUGUGGGACUGAAUGAAGUUGCCAUGCUUUUGGCUACCAGGCCCCUUCCCGUGAGCCUUCUCAAAGGCAAAGGUUGGGUUUUUCUGCUGGAGCUUGGCUGCUGCUCUCACUUUCCCCACAGCCACCUCUUGAGGGGAUCAGUGGUUGGUUUUGGCAGGAACUGCUUUAUUUUGUGCUUGGAAACACAGUGAUCUCAGCUGUGUGCAGGUCUGCGUGAGGCUGGGUAUUAGAGCUGCUUUGAUGUCUGCACUGAUACAUCUUAAAGCAGCUCAGGAUGGUUUUAUGCAGUAGCCCUAAGGUGCUUGCACAGAAAAAGGUGCUUUAGAAAUGUAAAUUCUGUUUGAGGACAGGUUUUUCUCUGCUGUUCUCUCUCAAUUCAGGAUGAGGUGGUAAAAAUGUAGCAUUUAAUUAAAGUUUGUAAAGGUUUGGAAAUGCAUUGCCAUAAACAUAAAGGAUGUAAUCAAAUGUCUGCCUAAUCCCCACCUUAAGGGCACAUUAAAUGCAGAUAGAGUAUAAUAUGUUAGAGACCAGGAUUGAAAAGCGAUGAGGAUUUGGGAGCAGAUCUUUCUUACCUGAAGCUUAUAAAUUAUUUUACUUCAGGCUUAGGGAUUUAGACAUCUACGUACAAUAGAAAGCCACGUAGCAGCCAAAUUCUCAGCCAGCACAGCUGGCAUCAUUCUACUGAGUCAUUUCAGCUACAAAUCCUUAGGGCACAGCCCUGUGACGUGGUUACAGCGCACUGUCCUGACGGAGUGUGGCAUGAGAAUCAUUCCUCACUUCAUCACCGAGUAGGGGGCUGCUUCUCUGAACUCAGUAGGGGAUUAGAUAAAAGCACCUAACAGGUUUUCAUUGUUGGAAUACAGCAGCAUAAAGAAGGGAAUGUGGCAUUGCACAGUGUCAGCUGGGGAGCGCAAAGCAGGCCGCGGCACCCUGAAGGCGCCCUGGCCUGGAAAAAGCCCUUUGCCCAGAGGGCCCCUCGCGUCCCUCUUCGGCUCCUGUGCCUCGCCGUUCCGCUCUUGAUCUCGAAGGCGCUGCCGCUCUUGCCUCGUCGUCCCACGGCUUCUGCCAACGGACGACGACACGCUCAGGCCCCAGAAACUCCAGACCCCGUGCCUGCAGGGAACCGCCACCCAACAGCCCCACAGGGACAUCCCCAACCGGCUGCCCAAAAGCCCCCCACUUCAGCUCCAAGCUGCUGCUCUUACCUUGCGGCUGCGCUUCUGGGCUCGAGGCCGCCAAUGCUGAAGGCCGGCUCUUGCCUCGCCGAUCCACUCUUGAGCUCGAAGAGGCCGCUCCUGCGGCUCGCUCUUUCCUCGCUGUCCCACGGCUUCUGCAAACGUCGACGAGGACACAAUCAGGCCCGAGGAGCUCCAGCUGCCAUAGGGAAGUGCCACCCAACAGCCCCACAGCCUCAUGCC
This is an RNA transcript of Melospiza melodia melodia, 6143 nucleotides long. It is a transcript of the gene named prickle planar cell polarity protein 3-like, with no coding region annotated. The transcript has 3 exons. The record is from RefSeq and is a predicted model, not a curated record. NCBI's taxonomy places the organism in Eukaryota, Metazoa, Chordata, Aves, Passeriformes, Passerellidae.